CUAAAAAUCUAGCCCACCACCCCCCCCCCUUUUUUUUAAGAUGAACCAAAAUAUUUUUGCAGUCCAGUAAAGAAGAUUAAAAAACUUUUAAGAGCUAUAAACUUGUACCGCAAGGGAAACAUGAAAUAAAAAUGAAAUAAAUUUUAAGCACAAAAAAGUAGAGACCCACCCUCGUACCUUUUGCAUCAUGGUCUAGCUAGUCUAAUUAGGCAAAAAGACCUUAAGUCUAACUCCCCGAAACUAAGUGAGCUAUUUUAGGGCCGCUUAAUGAGCCCACCCAUCUAUGUUGCAAAAUAGUGGGAUGACCCUAAAAUAGGGGUGACAAACCUAACGAACUUAGUGAUAGCUGGUUUCUCAAGAAAAGAAUCUUAGUCCAACCUAAAGUAAUUCUAAAUUAAAUAAUUUAUCUCCUUAUUUUAGAGCAAUUCAAAUGAGGUACAGCCCAUUUGACCCAGGAUCCAACCUUCACUAACGGGUCACACUUAAUUUACACCCACAAGUAGGCCCAAAAGCAGCCACCUUUUAAAAAGCGUCAAAGCUUAACUACGUGCACUUUAAUCCGUAGAUUCCCAUCGAACCCUUUAGCCAUACUGAGAACUUCUAUAACAUUAUAGAACCUUUUAUGCUAGAACUAGUAACAAGAGGCAAUCCCUCUCCUUAAUGCAAACUUAAGCCAGCAAGAACCCAUCACUGGCAACUAACAGACCUAAACAAGUAGCAACCCCUACAAGAAAACCCUACUUUUACUUCUGUUAACCUAACACUAGAGCAUUUCAAGAAAGAUUAAUAGAAAAAGAAGGAACUCGGCAAACAUUAGCCUCGCCUGUUUACCAAAAACAUCGCCUCUUGCCCCCCCCCCCUAAGAGGUCCAGCCUGCCCAGUGACUUUGUUCAACGGCCGCGGUAUCCUAACCGUGCAAAGGUAGCGUAAUCACUUGUCUUCUAAAUAAAGACCAGUAUGAAAGGCAUCACGAAGACUAAGCUGUCUCCUUUUUCUAAUCAGUGAACCUAUUUUCCCCGUGAAGAAACGGGGAUUCUCCUAUAAGACGAGAAGACCCUAUGGAGCUUUAAACAUUAUAACACUUGCUAUUCAUUUUAAAUAUUCUGAUAUCCAUUUCUUCUAAAGCAGGCUAAUUACUAGUUUUUGGUUGGGGUGACCGCGGAGAAAAACCUAUCCUCCACAAUGAAAGAGGGUACCCCCCUCUAAACAAUAAGUUACAACUUUAUGUAUCAACAAAUUGACAUCCAUUGACCCAAUAAAUUGAUCAACGAACCAAGUUACCCUAGGGAUAACAGCGCAAUCCACUUCGAGAGCCCCUAUCGACAAGUGGGCUUACGACCUCGAUGUUGGAUCGGGGUAUCCCAGUGGUGCAGCCGCUACUAAAGGUUCGUUUGUUCAACGAUUAAAACCCCACGUGAUCUGAGUUCAGACCGGAGUAAUCCAGGUCAGUUUCUAUCUAUAAAAGAGCUUUUUUUAGUACGAAAGGACCAAAAUAGCAUGGCCAAUACCCCCUCAAGCCAUAGUUAAUCAUUCUUGACCUCAACUAAAAAGAUUAUUAACCUCCUCCCUUCCCU
This 1574-nucleotide ribosomal RNA is filed under the name Pristimantis orcesi (Bolivar robber frog). RNAcentral describes it as "partial 16S ribosomal RNA". It matches the Rfam family "Bacterial large subunit ribosomal RNA", at positions 380 to 2925 of the family's 2925-position model. Lineage: Eukaryota; Metazoa; Chordata; Amphibia; Anura; Strabomantidae. The record is from RNAcentral.